RNAcentral lists this long non-coding RNA (390 nucleotides) under Marmota monax (woodchuck). The record is from RNAcentral. Lineage: Eukaryota; Metazoa; Chordata; Mammalia; Rodentia; Sciuridae.
AAAAACUAAGGAACCUCCUUAAACAGUACCUUGGGGCCACUGUCUGCUGGCAUGUUGACUUAGUCCCCUCUUGCCUUUAGAACUGUCUGUGGGUGUCCUUGUGUGGGGGGGGCGUGGGUGGUUUCUAUUAUUAUUAUUAUUUUUCUGUCUUGAUUUGGGUUUAGCUUUGAGUCCCUGCAAAUAAUAUUUUCUGUUUCUUCUUUUCACACAAUAAAUAAAUUAAGUCAACUUGCAGUAUACACAUUGUCAAUGUCCUGAGAAUCCUAAAGGUCCAUUCUUGGUACUGUCUUCAGAGAGCUGAGACAGAGGCCUUGGUGCAGGAGGAAGGAAGAAGUCUGCUUUCCAAUCAAGAGGACCCCUAGGAAGAGCCCCACAUAGAGGUAUCCCUCC